Long non-coding RNA from Triticum aestivum (bread wheat), 1012 nucleotides. RefSeq lists it as uncharacterized. The record is from RefSeq and is a predicted model, not a curated record. The transcript has 4 exons. NCBI's taxonomy places the organism in Eukaryota, Viridiplantae, Streptophyta, Magnoliopsida, Poales, Poaceae.
AAGAAAACCCCCUGCUGAAAACAACCGAGCAGCUGCCUCAGACUACGAUCCCCUUUUCUACGCUGCCGCCUCCCUCUCCUGCUGCGCCGCCGAUCCAAUCUCCCGUGGCAACUGCUGCGUAGUGCGUAGAGCUCCGUGCGUGUGCAACCGCCGGUCAAACCAGGACGUGGGGAUUGCCGAUCGUGCUGGGUUUGAACCUCGCCGAGUAUAAGAUCCCCCGAACCCUCAAAGAUGCUCACUUCCUCUCCUCUCGCCUCCCGUCGCCUCUGUCGAAUCCGGCGACUGGAGCAGCUGCCGCCGCCUCUCAGACCGCAGAACCGUUGCCGACGUCGCCGGCACCGGACACGCCCUCUUCCGCCGAGCAAGUGUGGAGGUGGUGGUCCUGGAGGGGGCCAUCGUAGCAUCGCGCAGGAGCUUGCGAGGUGCACUACAGAGUCCAGCGUCGGCAACCUCUGCUCGGAUCCGUUUCAUUGAGGUGGGGGUCAGUAGGUUGACAAACUGAAGGUCUUAGCAUCUUCCCUAGCUAAUUCAUCCUCCAAGGCAGAGAAGCGUAUUGUGGAUCACAGAUGGCACCCGUUAAACUCCCAAGUAAGUGGACGUAUGCGGACACCACAGAAACCCUGGCGACGUACGGCAAACCUGCCAUCUUCCUAACUAUGACUUGCAACCCAAACUGGCCCGAGAUACAGGACGCGCUACUUCCAGGCCAAAAUUUGCAGGACCAAUCAGACCUCGUGGCCCGAGUGUUCAGGUCCAAACUGGAGACGAUGAAAGACAUGCUGACCAAGAAGCAUAUCCCAGGCGUCCUGAAGGUGGUAGAGUUUCUGAAGAGGGGCCUCCCCCAUGCUCAUUUCAUGUUGAUGUAGCUAGGCCACAUUUGAGUUGCUUUCUUGAUUAUCAUUAGUCUUUGAAAAUGGUUUUAGGCUUGCCAAAAGAUUUGAGACACACAUAUAUGUAUUUGAAUUACUACUGUGCUAUCUUUUAAAUAUAUAUGAGUAUUUGUGUGUGUGCA